AGGACGAACGCUGGCGGCGUGCUUAACACAUGCAAGUCGAGCGGAAAGGCCCUUCGGGGUACUCGAGCGGCGAACGGGUGAGUAACACGUGAGUAACCUGCCCCUAGCUCCGGGAUAGCUCCGGGAAACCGGAAUUAAUACCGGAUGUGAUCACGGCCGACAUCGGCCACGAUGGAAAGAUUUAUCGGCUAGGGAUGGGCUCGCGGCCUAUCAGCUUGGUUGGUGGGGUAAUGGCCUACCAAGGCGACGACGGGUA
This 256-nucleotide ribosomal RNA is filed under the name uncultured bacterium. Its description in RNAcentral is "partial small subunit ribosomal RNA". It matches the Rfam family "Bacterial small subunit ribosomal RNA", at positions 26 to 285 of the family's 1533-position model. The record is from RNAcentral.